CUUUUUGCUCACCCCACCUGGUACUCCAUGUCGUAGCUGGGCAGGAUGAUCCGCCCGUGCUUCCACUCGCCGCCCUGGUCCUCACGGAUGACCCACAGCAACUUGCUCUCCUGGCUGGCUUCCCGCACCACCUGCAGCGCCACCCCGCGGCCGCCCGUGGCCUGGGACUGUGAAUAUCCUGGACUUGUCAGGGUAGAUGGGCUAGGAUUCUAGAGCCUAGAAUCAAUGCAAUACUCCCUGGACCACUGCUUUGCUGUUGUUAAUCCUGCUGACCUCAACUUUCUAGCAUUUACUGACUGUACUGCUGAUUUUAUGUUUUUAAAAGGACUUCAGGCAGGCCAUUUUCCAUGGAUUUCAGCAGUUUCACAAAUAAGACCCACUUGCUGC
This 387-nucleotide long non-coding RNA is filed under the name Homo sapiens (human). Its description in RNAcentral is "NRP2 antisense RNA 1". Lineage: Eukaryota; Metazoa; Chordata; Mammalia; Primates; Hominidae. The record is from RNAcentral.